CCUACGGGCGGCAGCAGUCGAGAAUCAUUCACAAUGGGGGAAACCCUGAUGGUGCGACGCCGCGUGGGGGAAUGAAGGUCUUCGGAUUGUAAACCCCUGUCAUGUGGGAGCAAAUUAAAAAGAUAGUAUCACCAGAGGAAGAGACGGCUAACUCUGUGCCAGCAGCCGCGGUAAUACAGAGGUCGCAAGCGUUGUUCGGAAUCACUGGGCGUAAAGCGUGCGUAGGCUGUUUCGUAAGUCGUGUGUGAAAGGCGCGGGCUCAACCCGCGGACGGCACCUGAUACUGCGAGACUAGAGUAAAGGAGGGGUGACCGGAAUUCUCGGUGUAGCAGUGAAAUGCGUAGAUAUCGAGAGGAACACUCGUGGCGAAGGCGGGUUCCUGGACAUUAACUGACGCUGAGGCACGAAGGCCAGGGUAGCGAAAGGGAUUAGAUACCCGAGUAGUC
Molecule: ribosomal RNA, 446 nt
Filed under: uncultured bacterium
Lineage: Bacteria
Description: partial 16S ribosomal RNA
Rfam family: Bacterial small subunit ribosomal RNA
Source: RNAcentral